UCCGUGCUAGAAACGAUGAUGUUGGUCCCCGCACAUGUUAGAUGUGUCAAAAUAGAGCGCAAGCUCGUGAACCAUACCUGACGGUCCUGCCCGUCCUGGCGGAAAUGCCGGGGCGGUCUUCCGUGAAUCGAAAUUUCAAUAUGCGCGGGGGUGAAUCCUUUGCAGACGACUUGAAUGGGAACGGGGUGCUGUAAGCAGUAGAGUAGUCUUGUUACUACGAUCUGCUGAGCUAAGCCCUUGUUCUAUAGAUUUGUUCAAC
RNAcentral lists this ribosomal RNA (259 nucleotides) under Phaffia rhodozyma. Its description in RNAcentral is "partial 26S ribosomal RNA". It matches the Rfam family "Eukaryotic large subunit ribosomal RNA", at positions 3141 to 3401 of the family's 3401-position model. Lineage: Eukaryota; Fungi; Basidiomycota; Tremellomycetes; Cystofilobasidiales; Mrakiaceae. The record is from RNAcentral.